UUUUUAAAACCAGCUGUCACUUUAUUUUAAAUAAAUCCUUUACAAGGGAGGCUGCCACUUCCACUACAAGGUCUGUUGGUCAGACCAGUACACCCAGGCUGGGCAUUCACCUUUCCGUGUAGUCCACCAGACAGGGGCAAGUGUUGCACACCUCUGAGUAAGAGCCAAGCCUGCACACAACUGGAAGCUGUAUUUGACAGUAAAAGGGGAUUCCCCUACUGAAGCUGAACCACUGUCUACAGGAACUCUGGCUCACUGCUAAACUAGAUCACAUGAAAGCACAAAAGCCAGUUAAAAAAGAGUCGUCCUUGUCUCUGACAGCGAGUUACGUGCUGCAAGAUGCAUUUUUCCUAGUACCUGUCGGUGUUGUUCUCCCUCUUGCUCUUCACUACAUGCGUUUACUGGCACACGCAUCCAAGCAGGGCUGGCAGCAGCAGGAACUGCCCGAGGAUAGCCCCAACCAGCUAAGCAGGGACUUUGCCAGGGCUGGCUGCCCAAAGGCCCCUGGGCUUAGAAGCAGCUACCCUCAAACCCCUUUUGGGUGGGCAAAAAGGAACACACUCCCCAACCCCUUUCUGCUCCCUCUUGAUUUAAAAUACACGUUGUGGCCACCGGAGGGCAUCACACGAAGCCCUUCCACAAGGCUCCACGCGUUAUCAGGCAGGUCUACAUAAACCACAGGGCUGAACAGACGGGUACAGCUUCCAAACUGGUUACCAUAAUCCUUCAGCGUGUCCAGUGUCGCUCCUCACCCAGUCCUGGAGCCGGGAACAAAGGGACUCACGGGCCUGUGGGCGAAAACAUGCAGGUCACUGUGUUGCUGCCAGUGGACAGAGAACUUCCAGAGGGGCAGCCUGUGAGUGCCCUGAUGACAACAGCCAAACCUCAGGUGCUGUGGGAAUCAGAACCAUGUAUUCUCUUCCCAACCCUACCUCAAUGGUGGGAGGAGACCUGGCAAUAACCCCUGCAAGAGCAGGAGCUCGGACCAGCCCCUGCCUGGAGCAAGAUUUCCCCAGAGACUCCAGGAGUGCCUGCAGGCUCUAACAGUGUGGGGCACCCCACUGCCCUGCCCCGGGACCACACACCACAUGGCUGGGACUGCUACGCUGACCUGCCUUUCUCCUCGACUGCGAUGACUCCUCCCAGGACAGGAAGGUCAGUGAGAAAACAUUAUGCCGACCUGUCUGCCUUCACUUCUGGAUGGCACCGUCUCUCCUGCAGAGUUGGGAAGUCUUAUCACUGGUUAACAUUAAACGUAUCUGUGACUAAAAGCA
Strigops habroptila (Kakapo) is the source of this 1274-nucleotide long non-coding RNA. RefSeq lists it as uncharacterized. The record is from RefSeq and is a predicted model, not a curated record. The transcript has 2 exons. NCBI's taxonomy places the organism in Eukaryota, Metazoa, Chordata, Aves, Psittaciformes, Psittacidae.